CAUAGGCAUUCAGGCAGCUAGCGGCGACGGCAAAACGGCAGCACCAUGCAUGAUUCACCAGCGGUGAGAGAGAGAGAGAGAGACCAUGACCAUAAGUCCAUCAUAUUAUGCUCUGCUUGCUUGCACCCACACCAUGACACCACCAUGCACACACACACCCCUCUAUAAACCCCUCAUGCCAUCUGCCUUCUUCAUUCAGUUCACGUACGUCUUGUACGUCACAGCAGUCUCAUGGUGAUAUUUUCCCUCUCUUUGUUCAUCAAGUGGUUUCAUGGUGCCUUCUUUUAUUGGAACAGCUUAUAUACACUACUUAGCAGAUUUCUUUUUUUUUUUUUUGGUCUUGGGCAGAAGUUAUUGGGGUGUCUCACCCGAAUGUUCUUGCCUUUCACAGAACCAAAAUUUACUGUUGGUGUUUUCUUUCUUCCAAAUUAACUCCCAAUUAAAGAACAUUGUGUUAAUUUUUGGGGGGCAUAGAUUCUUGUUUCAGAUGACCAGAUCAUCCCCAAUGAUCAUGAAUGAAAGGUAGGCAGACUUGCUAAUCUCUUGUUGCUUAUCCCAUUGAUUCUGUUUGUUCAGUAGAUCUUGCUCUCUAUAAUGGAAUUUCUCUCUCCAUUCGAUGUUUCCUAGUACUAUACCUCAUCAUAAUGUAACACUGCUAUAUGCUAGAGCUUUCUUUACAGACGUUUUUUGUUCUGUCUAGUACAGAACUUUUCUCGAGAAACGCUGAACCUACCUUGCGCAGAGCUUAAUCAAUUCAAUUGUUUCCAGCUUUUUUUUCUGAACAUGAACUGCAUGAGUGUAAUCUGCUUCAGUUUUGCAUCUAGUUUACACUAAUUGCUCAAGCAGCUAGGCCUGGCUUCAGUGCUGUUCAUUUGUUCUCUUCUAGAAUUCAGUGUUGUUCUUCAUCUGUUCUCCUCUGAAUUCAUUGCUGUUCAUUACACAUUCUUCAGUGCUGUCCUUUGCACAUUUCUUCAGUGCUAUUCAUUAAACAUUCUUCAGUCUUGUUCAUAUAUAUGCUCAUCCCAAAUACCAACAACAGUUCCACGUUUAAUUCAUGAUUUAGCAUGCCAUCUAAUAAAGUUAUAAAAUUACAAUAAUUAGUUUGGCAGUGCAGAAAGAGAACCAUUUUGGCUGUGUCUAUUACUCGGAGUCAAUGUAAGUUACUCGCAAAAAAACAAUAGAGCCUGCAAUUCAUAUGAUCUCAGCACUGACAAGAUCUUACAACUUUUUGUGCACGAGUACUGACCCAAAUCAACCAUACAUAAUAGUUAUAACAUAUACUGCCAAGGGCUUUUUACAAUCAAAUAGUGCAGACGACAGAAAUGUGCACACAAUAAAUAAACUCAACAUUACAAGGUCGUACUAUAUAUAUAUAUGAAACCAUAGCAAGUAUGCUUCAGGUAGAAACUAGGAUGAGAUGAUGUAGCUUAACCAAAUAUUCAUGUUCAUCCUGAUGCUCAAUUAGAUUCCUUGCCCCCAAAAGUCCAAGCAACUCAGACUACAUUCACUGGCAAAAACAUUUUGCAAGAUUCUUGUGUUUGUGCUUAACAGCGACACGCAUCAUGCUACUCCUUAGGCGCCAUGUUCAGUGUUCACUCGCAAUAGCACGUACAUUCCAUGGAAGACCCCAUCAGAAAGUCAAGCAUGUCGUUGUUCAUGUUGGUCAUGCAGAGAAUUUGGACUUGUCGAAUUGACAGAAAAAAAAUAAAGAGGAAAAGGAGAAGAUUACCAAAAAAACAUCAUUUUUUCCAUUUGUUUAACUCCAAUUGUGAUUUAUGGUGACUAAAAAAUUCUUCAGAAUAUGUCCUCGUUUGUUUCACCGGUUAGGCAGCUCCAGCUGUUUGGACUGUGCGUCAUGAAAAGGACAAGAACCGAAGUCGACUAAGAUGGUGACGAAGUUCGAUUUUGAUGGGACAAUUACUAGUGGUUCAGAAAAUUACGUCCAAUAGAAUCUCUUUUCAGAAAUUAAAAAAAAAAUAUACACAAUUUAAAAGAGGGCGUGGAAUCAUGGAUGGAGAAUGAAUUAUACCGGGAAUAUAAUGCAUGGUGACGACAGCUUGUGACAUGUCAUUCAAGUGCCAUGGUAGUCAACAAGUGGUUUGCAGUUGUUUGUUGUAUGCUCUUUGGCUGGGGGUGUGAACCUUGUUUUUUUGAACGAAUUUGCUCAACCUUGUUGCUGCUGCUCUGUUGUAUUGUGGAGUCUAGGUUUCUUCUUUUUAUUUUAUUAUAGGCUUAUUCAUUUAAAAAGAACUGAGAAUGUAGAAGUAAACUAAGGCUGCCAUCUGCAACGAGAAACAUUUUAAAUUCCCGGUAGAA
Long non-coding RNA from Sorghum bicolor (sorghum), 2316 nucleotides. RefSeq lists it as uncharacterized. Lineage: Eukaryota; Viridiplantae; Streptophyta; Magnoliopsida; Poales; Poaceae. The transcript is spliced from 2 exons. The record is from RefSeq and is a predicted model, not a curated record.